Long non-coding RNA from Numida meleagris (helmeted guineafowl), 1095 nucleotides. RefSeq lists it as uncharacterized. NCBI's taxonomy places the organism in Eukaryota, Metazoa, Chordata, Aves, Galliformes, Numididae. The record is from RefSeq and is a predicted model, not a curated record. The transcript is spliced from 4 exons.
AAAUUGUUCUGUGAUUUUCUGAAUCUGUGAUUCAAGAUACACAAAGCUUGGAAGAGAUGAGAUUUUAAUCUUAGCUAAACCAUUGUUAUAAUCCCUCUCUGGAUAUGCUGGACGUAAGUUUUUUUCAGCCUCCAGAGGUCCAAGCAGACAAUCUGGACAGGUCAAAUUUUGUUUCCUUUACAUAUGCCCAGUGAAAUUAACCAAGAAGACUUGUAUUCCUGAACUUCUGUACAACAUUCCUCCAGAGAACCUCAGGAUGGCAGUCUAGGUUUUUGCUGAGAAUGAAAAAUCCUUUGCCAGCCUCAGAUAUGGAAUCUAGUACAGAGACCUCAGUAAUCAAUGUACAUUGGCUUCAUCCUUAAUUUCAGCAGCUUUUUCCUGAGGUCUUUCUGGACAUAAUUUCAAUACAGAUACACUCAAAGCAGUUUUGGGUUAUCAUUAUGGUUAAACUCCCAGUCAAACUAAAAUUAAUAUAAAAACUGCCCCGAUUGAGCUGAAAAGGUAUUGGAUUUUGCCUCUUCUGCCUGUUUCAUAUUUUUGUUAGGAGUUUACUGAAAAUAAAUCAUACCGAACUUAAUUAAAGUAGCAGCUUUUGACAUUUUCCAAAUGUGUGCUAUAAAAAGUUGAUAUAGAAAUGGUAGUGGAAAUGACAAGCCACAGCUUGAAACAGUGAUUGAGAACAUGGUGGGAAGGCAGGGCCAACCCAGGGGAUCUCAGGUGCAUGCAAUGCACCAGAGUAACCAUAAGGGGUGAAGCCAGGAUCCACCCCUUCCCAGAUCUCAUUUAAGGUUUGGCAGUGGAGGUAAGGCUAUCUUGCUGGAGAUCACUGUAUACCUGAGGCCUUCCAAGGGGGGUCCCAUGAACAAGCAGGGCCUUAUGAACAGUCUUCAAAAACAGCCUCUGCAACAAGAUACGUGCUUGGGCUGGAGAGAGUACCAGGAAAACCAACCUACAUAGUGCAUCUGGGGAUGUUUCUGAGAUGCCAGUAUGUUACAGCACUGAGAGCCAGGUCAGCCCUGGAAGAGAGCACCAGACUCCAGUCCCAGUAGGAUGAUGACUGAGCUCCCCUAGACCUCACUGAGGUUGGACACAGGA